RNAcentral lists this transfer RNA (72 nucleotides) under Clostridiales bacterium. Its description in RNAcentral is "tRNA-Glu". It matches the Rfam family "tRNA". Rfam says of the family: Transfer RNA (tRNA) molecules are approximately 80 nucleotides in length. Lineage: Bacteria; Bacillati; Bacillota; Clostridia; Eubacteriales. The record is from RNAcentral.
GGCUCGUUGGUCAAGAGGUCAAGACGCCGCCCUCUCACGGCGGAAACAGGGGUUCGAUUCCCCUACGGGCUG